This 506-nucleotide ribosomal RNA is filed under the name uncultured bacterium. Its description in RNAcentral is "partial 16S ribosomal RNA". It matches the Rfam family "Bacterial small subunit ribosomal RNA", at positions 29 to 523 of the family's 1533-position model. The record is from RNAcentral.
AGUGGACGCUGGCGGCAGGCCUAACACAUGCAAGUCGAACGGUAACAGGAAACAGCUUGCUGUUUCGCUGACGAGUGGCGGACGGGUGAGUAAUGUCUGGGAAACUGCCUGAUGGAGGGGGAUAACUACUGGAAACGGUAGCUAAUACCGCAUAACGUCGCAAGACCAAAGAGGGGGACCUUCGGGCCUCUUGCCAUCGGAUGUGCCCAGAUGGGAUUAGCUAGUAGGUGGGGUAACGGCUCACCUAGGCGACGAUCCCUAGCUGGUCUGAGAGGAUGACCAGCCACACUGGAACUGAGACACGGUCCAGACUCCUACGGGAGGCAGCAGUGGGGAAUAUUGCACAAUGGGCGCAAGCCUGAUGCAGCCAUGCCGCGUGUAUGAAGAAGGCCUUCGGGUUGUAAAGUACUUUCAGCGGGGAGGAAGGGAGUAAAGUUAAUACCUUUGCUCAUUGACGUUACCCGCAGAAGAAGCACCGGCUAACUCCGUGCCAGCCGCCGCAGUAA